AUCGUGCUUAGUGUGCUGAUUCCGUCGUGAGUGGCCUUGCCUUCACUGUGUCGUCUAGGUCGCUCUGAUACGUAACGGGAUGGGGCUUUAUGAUUAUGCAUGCUUCAUUCUCUUACGUGACUAUCAUGUUUAUGUUUUAUGAUGUUGAACAUUUAUUAUGUUUUGUUAAGUUGAUUUAACUCAUUUGAGAUAUUAUGAUGGGGCCUACGUGCCAAACUGAUUUAUGGAUUAUGAACUAAAUUCCGCUGCAAUGUUUACGAC
RNAcentral lists this long non-coding RNA (261 nucleotides) under Medicago truncatula (barrel medic). RNAcentral's name for it is "long non-coding RNA (MTRU_LNC001637)". The record is from RNAcentral. Lineage: Eukaryota; Viridiplantae; Streptophyta; Magnoliopsida; Fabales; Fabaceae.